GUUAUUUUAAUAAAUUAAGUUUAGAUUAUAUCUAAUUUUAUUGAGAUUAUUUCUAAUUUUAGUGAAUUUGUAUUUUUAGUUAAUUAAAAUUUAGUAAUUAUUAUAAAUAUACUUUUUAUUCCAUUGAUUUAGUGUGACAGGGAUGAAAGAGUAUGAUUGUAUUUUUGAGACUAGAGUUUUAUAAGAUAGACAUAUUUUACACAUCACUUGGAUUAUAAUAAAAGUCUCCACUCUGUUUUCGCCCAUGUAAAUAUGUGCUUUAUUUUUUUCCUCUCUUUAUCGGUUCUCUUUUGAAAUUUUCAUAUCCGACGAAUUUGAUAUUUUUCGCUUUUAUCAUAACAAAUU
This 345-nucleotide long non-coding RNA is filed under the name Ananas comosus (pineapple). RNAcentral's name for it is "long non-coding RNA (ACOM_LNC015974)". The record is from RNAcentral. Lineage: Eukaryota; Viridiplantae; Streptophyta; Magnoliopsida; Poales; Bromeliaceae.